This is a long non-coding RNA of Zea mays, 2821 nucleotides long. RefSeq lists it as uncharacterized. The transcript is spliced from 3 exons. The record is from RefSeq and is a predicted model, not a curated record. Lineage: Eukaryota; Viridiplantae; Streptophyta; Magnoliopsida; Poales; Poaceae.
GAACUUUAGUUGUCGUUAUAACCACCAAUAAAUCGACCACGUUUUGAUAGUUUCAUAGCCCAAAGUUGGGAAUUCUCUUUAAGCAAAACUUUUAGUUCUUCUCAGUACCUUUUAAAUGGGCAUUUACUUGUAAUUGUCUGUUAAAUAGAUUGGUAGAGGUGGUUGUCCGAUUAUAAGUCGAAUCUCUAAUGUGCAGUAUCUCAGGCUGAGUUUAGCUGUAGGUCAUGCAUAGUUGAGGGCUAUAAAGAUAAAUUUGGGUGCAACUUUAUUGCAAAAGUCGUGGACAAUUUUCAAAACUUUUCCAACGCGUGUUCGUUGUAGUUUAAGUUGAGUAUAGCAGGAGUUAUAGGUUUUUGAAUUUUAGUUGUCCAUUGUUUCAAUCCUAUCAGUUUUGCAACAAAAGUGUUGCAUUGUUUUAUCGGUUUGGAAACCAAAUUCGAGACACUCAUUAUAAUAAAAGUUUUAGGGAAUGUUAUAAUCUUUUCAAUGAGUUUAUAUUUGCAAAAUUUUGUUAGCUGUAGGGAGUUAUGAUAUAGUGUAUAGAAUGUGCUUGGAUAAAUAUGUGGGCAGGCAUAACAUGCUUAAAUUGAUUCUUGUUUGCAUGAUGUGAGAUUAGGCUUAAAUGAUUUAAAAAGUUAUCAUAUUGCUUCUAUACUUAUAUUUGUUCUAAGUGUCUCGUAAUGAAGAACCUAAAAUUAUUAGUCUUUCGAUGAACGAUGAACGCUUUAUCUUAGAAGAGUAAUGAACCUCAUAAAAUCUAUUGCUUGUUGUUGGGACUGCAUGACCAGUUUUAGUUAUGCAGCUAGUUCAAUAAAGUAAACCAUCUUUUCUGUAGAGAUGUUAUAUAUAAAAGUUGUAGCCAACUUCUUUAUCUUAUUUGUGUAAAAAUUUCAUGACCAUAGGUCUAGUAGUUUGGGAGUUAUGAUUUUCUCAAGUCCAGUCUUGGAAUCUGUCCAGAUUUUGUACAGACUUCGAAACUGACCUCGUUUGCCCAAUUUAAACUUCGAAUAAGUUCUUAUAAAUUAUAAAUAAGUUGUAGUACUUUUCUUAAUCUUUUCAACAAAUUUUGGAUCACCUUUUUUGGAGAUCUAUAAGUUAAGUUACAGCUGUUUUAAGUGUGAUCUUUGAAUCUGUCCAAAUUUGGACAGCAGAGCCUUUCUCAUGUCUUUUUGACCUUGAUAUGCAUUGAAUUAACAUGAUAUGUUAUAAAUGAAUUAUAGACAAUUCUAUUAGAUUUCUAAAAAGUCUAGGAGCACCUGAAUUGGAUGACUGAGACUCCAAUUAGGGAUUUUUUGAAUUGAGUAGUUGAAUUCUGUCCAAGUCUGGACAGAAUUUACGUUUAGCAUUGUUUGACCUUUCUAUGUGUCAAAUCUUGUUGUGAUGAUAAUACCAAGGGUAUAGUGGACUUUAUAAGAUUUCCAUAAAGUCCUAGUCUACUAUUUUGGAUGCAUAUUUUGUGAGUUAUGAGCAAAACAAUUAACCACUGUGCUGCUGUCCAGAAAUAUGCAAGCAUUAAGUUGCUCUCUUGAAGUUGCUCUUGUUUGGCUAAGUUUGGUUUAGGCUAUAGGAACACUAUAUGCAUUGCAUUCAUAUAUACAUUCCUUGAAGUACUUGCAUAUGUCAAUGUUGAUUUGGUGUCAGGAAAGCUUUGUCCGAGGUAUAUAGGACUGUCUACUAUCUUAGCCGAGUUGGCAGCUGGGCUUAGUACAUACAAUUGUCGGAAUCUAUAAUCAUAGUACACCAUGUAUUCCAUGUCUUUAUGUUGAGGAAGUAUUUGAGGAAUCCAGACCAUCAAAUCGAGCUAGAGUCGAUUCCCUGUGUAGCAAGACCAGACUCUAGAGUGUCGUCUGCUGCGUAUCUUAGAAUCCUAGGAGCUUGAGGAGCUGAUGUGGCAGAAGUACCCGAACUUUUCAUUAUGUGUGAGUUUUGUUGAUUCAUUAAUCUUGCUUUUGUCGUUCCGAUAAAAGCGUCAGAAUUCGAGGUCGAAUUCUUUUUAAGGGGGGUAGAGUGUGAUACCCAGUUUGCAAAGAAGAGAAGUUGGAGUUUAUUCUUUCUUGUUUUUUUGCUUCUCCUUUGGGUAGUGCACUUUUGGAGUUUGGAAUUGUUGGGUAGCAUUCGCUAGUAAAACAAUAGAAUUUUGGUUAGACUUGUGCGCCGGGGUCGGGAGUUGACGCGUGAGCGAGUUGGGCCGUGGUUCUUGAUCCGGCCCACUAACCCCCCUAACCCUAGCCGCCCCUUCCCCUAAUUCCCUUCCCCUUGUGCAGCCGCCCCCCCCUCUCUAGCCUUUGGCCUCCAUCCCCUCCCCCUAAUUCCCUCUCUCUUGUGCAGCAGCCCCCAUUCCCUCAACCCUAGCCGCCACCCCCCUCCCAUCUCCUCCUCUCCAAGUGAUGUCCUUCCUCGCCGGAUCUUCUUCGUGUGGGUGCAAGUUCCGAUUGGAGAAUUGGUGGGAGGAAGGAAGGAGGAAAGGAGGAACCCAAGGUGGUGGACUUCCGGAUCGUACUUAGGGAUUUGCCCAAACUUCCGGUACUUGAUAUAUGUUGGGAAUGAGGGGAGUAGCAGCACGUCCACUUUCACUCUCAUAUUAAGGCUGCCCAAGCGCAUCCAUGAUUUAAUUAGAAACUUGAUGUCAAAGGAUGUUUGUUUUUUUACUAGUCAUGCGCAUUGGUUAAUUCAGUUCAUGUCGUAUGUUUAACUUUCCUUUGCUAGCCGUUUAAUAAUACUUAGUAUGUUUUUUGUCAUGAUACAUGUUUAUACACUGUUGCCCCCUCCUUUAUGCUAUUUUGCAAAGGAGAUGUUGUCGAAAUUUUAUAUAUGGAUGUCA